UAUAAUGGCCCAGUGUGAGUGAACAUGCCCAAUGAUGGACUAACAUCCUAUCCAGGAUUGGUUCUUCUUCAGGACAUGUCAUACUCUGACAGACUCGGAGAAUUAAACCUGUAUAUCUCCAGCAGAGGAGAUGACAUGGAGUCCUAAUCCAGGUCUUCAAAUUCCUCAAAGGCAUUGAUAAAGUAAAUCCAGCAGCAAUCUUUCAAUUUAAGGGUGAAUCAUGUACUCUAGGACACCAGUGAAAAUCAAGGCUGCCAAUUAUAGUAACAAUGAGAUGAAAGUGAAAAAGGAGCCAGCAGUAAGCCAUCUCUACCGGACCCAGGUCACUCUGUACAUAUGUGUUCAUCACAAAUAUGUUUAAAUAAAAUAUUU
This is a long non-coding RNA of Erpetoichthys calabaricus (reedfish), 372 nucleotides long. RefSeq lists it as uncharacterized. The record is from RefSeq and is a predicted model, not a curated record. NCBI's taxonomy places the organism in Eukaryota, Metazoa, Chordata, Cladistia, Polypteriformes, Polypteridae. The transcript is spliced from 3 exons.